GCCGAACCGAGCGAGCGUUGUUCGGAAUCACUGGGCUUAAAGGGCGCGUAGGCGGGCUGUCAAGUCUGGGGUGAAAUCCCAUGGCUCAACCGUGGAACUGCCUCAGAUACUGACGGCCUCGAGGGAGGUAGGGGCGAGCGGAACGGGUGGUGGAGCGGUGAAAUGCGUUGAUAUCACUCGGAACUCCGGUGGCGAAAGCGGCUCGCUGGACCUUUUCUGACGCUGAGGCGCGAAAGCUAGGGGAGCAAACGGG
This 253-nucleotide ribosomal RNA is filed under the name uncultured bacterium. RNAcentral describes it as "partial 16S ribosomal RNA". It matches the Rfam family "Bacterial small subunit ribosomal RNA", at positions 524 to 776 of the family's 1533-position model. The record is from RNAcentral.